Non-coding RNA from Trichonephila clavipes, 75 nucleotides. NCBI's taxonomy places the organism in Eukaryota, Metazoa, Arthropoda, Arachnida, Araneae, Nephilidae. The record is from the annotation of a GenBank genome assembly.
GUUUAUCUGUAGCGCAAUAGAUAGCGUGUUGGUCUUCUAAUCCAAAGAUAGUGGGUUCAAAUUCCGCCGGAAAUU